RNAcentral lists this transfer RNA (68 nucleotides) under Olisthops cyanomelas (herring cale). RNAcentral's name for it is "tRNA-Phe". The record is from RNAcentral. Lineage: Eukaryota; Metazoa; Chordata; Actinopteri; Labriformes; Odacidae.
UCCAUCGUAGCUUAAAUAAAGCAUGACACUGAAGCUGUUAAGAUGGGCCCUAGAAAGCUCCGAAGGCA